This 1440-nucleotide ribosomal RNA is filed under the name uncultured organism. Its description in RNAcentral is "SSU rRNA". It matches the Rfam family "Bacterial small subunit ribosomal RNA". The record is from RNAcentral.
CAGGCUUAACACAUGCAAGUCGAGGGGCAUCGGGUAGAAAGCUUGCUUUCUUUGCCGGCGACCGGCGCACGGGUGAGUAACACGUAUCCAACCUGCCCUUUACUCGGGGAUAGCCUUUCGAAAGAAAGAUUAAUACCCGAUAGUAUAAUGAUUCCGCAUGGUUUCAUUAUUAAAGGAUUCCGGUAAAGGAUGGGGAUGCGUUCCAUUAGGUUGUUGGUGAGGUAACGGCUCACCAAGCCUUCGAUGGAUAGGGGUUCUGAGAGGAAGGUCCCCCACAUUGGAACUGAGACACGGUCCAAACUCCUACGGGAGGCAGCAGUGAGGAAUAUUGGUCAAUGGGCGCUAGCCUGAACCAGCCAAGUAGCGUGAAGGAUGAAGGCUCUAUGGGUCGUAAACUUCUUUUAUAUAAGAAUAAAGUGCAGUAUGUAUACUGUUUUGUAUGUAUUAUAUGAAUAAGGAUCGGCUAACUCCGUGCCAGCAGCCGCGGUAAUACGGAGGAUCCGAGCGUUAUCCGGAUUUAUUGGGUUUAAAGGGAGCGUAGGUGGACUGGUAAGUCAGUUGUGAAAGUUUGCGGCUCAACCGUAAAAUUGCAGUUGAUACUGUCAGUCUUGAGUACAGUAGAGGUGGGCGGAAUUCGUGGUGUAGCGGUGAAAUGCUUAGAUAUCACGAAGAACUCCGAUUGCGAAGGCAGCUCACUGGACUGCAACUGACACUGAUGCUCGAAAGUGUGGGUAUCAAACAGGAUUAGAUACCCUGGUAGUCCACACAGUAAACGAUGAAUACUCGCUGUUUGCGAUAUACAGUAAGCGGCCAAGCGAAAGCAUUAAGUAUUCCACCUGGGGAGUACGCCGGCAACGGUGAAACUCAAAGGAAUUGACGGGGGCCCGCACAAGCGGAGGAACAUGUGGUUUAAUUCGAUGAUACGCGAGGAACCUUACCCGGGCUUAAAUUGCAGUGGAAUGAUGUGGAAACAUGUCAGUGAGCAAUCACCGCUGUGAAGGUGCUGCAUGGUUGUCGUCAGCUCGUGCUGUGAGGUGUCGGCUUAAGUGCCAUAACGAGCGCAACCCUUAUCUUCAGUUACUAACAGGUCAUGCUGAGGACUCUGGAGAGACUGCCGUCGUAAGAUGUGAGGAAGGUGGGGAUGACGUCAAAUCAGCACGGCCCUUACGUCCGGGGCUACACACGUGUUACAAUGGGGGGUACAGAAGGCAGCUAGCGGGUGACCGUAUGCUAAUCCCAAAAUCCUCUCUCAGUUCGGAUCGAAGUCUGCAACCCGACUUCGUGAAGCUGGAUUCGCUAGUAAUCGCGCAUCAGCCACGGCGCGGUGAAUACGUUCCCGGGCCUUGUACACACCGCCCGUCAAGCCAUGGGAGCCGGGGGUACCUGAAGUACGUAACCGCAAGGAUCGUCCUAGGGUAAAACUGGUGACUGGGGCUAAAA